AAUCUCAUUUCAUUUCUGCAAAGCUUCAUGGCCGGAUAGCAGCAGCAAAAGGGACAACCGAAACCUUCAACAUUUCUUCUUCCAAAACUCAUGCAAAUCACCACCAAAUCUUCUAAAAAUUUAGCACCACUUAGCCUAAGUCUUGGACAACAUAUUUAGCUGGAAAAGGGAGGAGCUUUCACGGUUCUUCAAGCUUCAAAGGGGCCGAAACUUCUGUCCUAACCAGCCAUCAAAGUAGAUAGUAAUCAAUCACCUUAAACUUGUCUUUUGGAGUUUGAUUUAUGCAUUUGAGCUAGAAUCGUCACUUUACUAGCUUGUAUUGUUGGGAAAAUUGUUAAACGUGGGCUCUAUGAACUCCCACUUUGGUUUGAUGGCUGUGAUGAUGUUUGAUGAUGGUUUUGUUGCUAAAUUAGAGCUUAAGGAAGUAGAUUAAAGGUGCUUUGUUACCAGAAACGUUAUUGAACUCUUGAAACAAAAAGUUCCAUUUUACCCCUGCUCUGUUCGGUCAUUUUAAUGCAGAAACUGAGGAUUUAAUGGCCUGAUUAUGUUGUUUACAUGUUGUAGCAGUUGUGUACAAAUUUUCGUUGAAAAAUAUUGAGUUUUGGUGGGUCAAACGAAUUUAUUUCCAAAGCUAGUAAUCUGGGAAAACGGUUGCCGUCGUAACCAGACCAGUGUUCGUGUUUCGUCCAUAACUCCGUACUCCGAUGUCGAAAUCAAGUGCCGUUAGAGCAUUUGAAACUUGACGUUCCCAUGUUCCAACGGUGUAUAGUGCACAUUCUGGUUUCAUGUGUGUGAGCCACACCAUUCAUCUGAAGUCGCCUGUCCUGUUUCUCCGUUCUGCCGAAAUGAUUUGAUGAUGCUGCAAGUUUAGGCUUAAUUUCGAACACAGUUGCAUGCUGAAACUUGAAAUGAUUUCUUCUGUGUAAUUUUAGCCCUAUGAAUGUAUUUUCUAACACUAUCAACCAUUCCUAAUUCCGAGUUAAAUUGAGGGAGUUAUGAUCAAAAUACGGCGACUGCCUCGUUUUUGAAACCUUAGAUUUGGACAGAUUGCCUUAAGGAUUUUUCCAAACUUUGGUUGAUUGAUUAACCACCUUUCCGAGGGUAUUUUUCCAUGAAAUUUUAUAGAGAGAUACCCUUCAUAUGGGAGUAUUAUACUGCAAAAUUUGUGUCAAUUCAAGUCCGUUUCGACACUUAACAAAAGGUCCAAAGUCGGAACCAAAUCUGGAAAUUUGUUAACAGUCUUGAAAUUUACCCAACUUUGAGCUACCAUAUCUUUGUGCUCGAAACUCCAAUUCUCGAUCCGCUUGUUCUGACCCAAACCUUACUUGCACCUCUAAUUGAGCUACAAAUUUCAAGGGCCGAUUUGCAACGAGUGAAUUCUGCUGAAUUUUCAAAGUUAGCGAAAAACCAACCCCGGCUCAAUCCUGGGUGAUUUGGAACAGCAACUUUAAACUCAUUUUUGAACACCUUCCACUUAGAUUCAUGGAAAAGUGUCUUCUAAGAACUUUUAGUACUUUGGAAAAGGUUUCCAACGGUACCAAGUUUUCCAAUUUUUGACAUGUGGAAUCUGAGAUACGAUUUUUUCAAAAUAUCAUAUCAAAACUGAAAUUUCUAAAUUUCAAGGAAAUGGAGUUUUUCAAGUAUUCCUUAUUCCUUCGAUAAUACUUGAACGUUUAUGCUUGAUUUCCAAGAUAACAAAACUCGAUUGCUCUUGUACAUUAAGAAACUCCACUUGAACCUCGAUUUACUAGUAAUUGAGGUUCAUUUUCAUGAAAUUUCCCCAGAUUGUACUAGUGCACAAUCUUCCUUGAUAAUUGGGAUGUGUGAAUGAUAAUUCACUAUUAAAUGCUCAGGCGCUCAAGAGGACCUUCCAGAGGAUCUCACGGGAGACGCCUAAACCAUCAUUUGAACUCGC
This 1915-nucleotide long non-coding RNA is filed under the name Coffea arabica (coffee). Its description in RNAcentral is "long non-coding RNA (CARA_LNC000109)". The record is from RNAcentral. Lineage: Eukaryota; Viridiplantae; Streptophyta; Magnoliopsida; Gentianales; Rubiaceae.